AGUGAACGCUGGCGGUAGGCCUAACACAUGCAAGUCGAACGGCAGCACAGUAAGAGCUUGCUCUUACGGGUGGCGAGUGGCGGACGGGUGAGGAAUACAUCGGAAUCUACUUUUUCGUGGGGGAUAACGUAGGGAAACUUACGCUAAUACCGCAUACGACCUACGGGUGAAAGCAGGGGAUCUUCGGACCUUGCGCGAUUGAAUGAGCCGAUGUCGGAUUAGCUAGUUGGCGGGGUAAAGGCCCACCAAGGCGACGAUCCGUAGCUGGUCUGAAAGGAUGAUCAGCCACACUGGAACUGAGACACGGUCCAGACUCCUACGGGAGGCAGCAGUGGGGAAUAUUGGACAAUGGGCGCAAGCCUGAUCCAGCCAUACCGCGUGGGUGAAGAAGGCCUUCGGGUUGUAAGGCCCUUUUGUUGGGAAAGAAAAGCAGCAGGUUAAUACCCCGCUGUUCUGACGGUACCCAAAGAAUAAGCACCGGCUAACUUCGUG
RNAcentral lists this ribosomal RNA (492 nucleotides) under uncultured bacterium. Its description in RNAcentral is "partial 16S ribosomal RNA". It matches the Rfam family "Bacterial small subunit ribosomal RNA", at positions 29 to 507 of the family's 1533-position model. The record is from RNAcentral.